AGAGCGGUGCCCAGCGUAGAGUGCCGGAAUCAUAAUCCUGGGGUCGGGGGUUCGAGUCCCUCUCUCGCUA
RNAcentral lists this transfer RNA (70 nucleotides) under Bradyrhizobium erythrophlei. Its description in RNAcentral is "tRNA_Met_CAT". It matches the Rfam family "tRNA". From Rfam's summary of the family: Transfer RNA (tRNA) molecules are approximately 80 nucleotides in length. Their secondary structure includes four short double-helical elements and three loops (D, anti-codon, and T loops). Lineage: Bacteria; Pseudomonadati; Pseudomonadota; Alphaproteobacteria; Hyphomicrobiales; Nitrobacteraceae. The record is from RNAcentral.